Non-coding RNA from Gossypium hirsutum (cotton), 138 nucleotides. The record is from Rfam. NCBI's taxonomy places the organism in Eukaryota, Viridiplantae, Streptophyta, Magnoliopsida, Malvales, Malvaceae.
UAUUAAAUUUUUCAUUCAUUUCUACUAUUAAAAUAUGGCAUGGCUGACAAAAUAACUAGACAAUGACAUGUGACAUAUAUCUUAUGUUGACGUACAAGAAUCAAUUUUUAACAGUAAAAAUAGAUGGAAAUUUUAAUA